This 253-nucleotide ribosomal RNA is filed under the name uncultured bacterium. RNAcentral describes it as "partial 16S ribosomal RNA". It matches the Rfam family "Bacterial small subunit ribosomal RNA", at positions 524 to 776 of the family's 1533-position model. The record is from RNAcentral.
GACAGAGGGGGCAAGCGUUGCUCGGAAUUACUGGGCGUAAAGGGCGCGUAGGCGGUUCGUUAAGUCCUGUGUGAAAUCCCCCGGCUCAACUGGGGAACUGCACAGGAAACUAGCGGGCUUGAGUUCGGGAGAGGGAAGCGGAAUUCCGGGUGUAGCGGUGAAAUGCGUAGAUAUCCGGAGGAACACCGGUGGCGAAGGCGGCUUCCUGGACCGACACUGACGCUGAGGCGCGAAAGCUAGGGGAGCAAACGGG